This 819-nucleotide transfer RNA is filed under the name uncultured Synechococcus sp. RNAcentral describes it as "16S-23S ribosomal RNA intergenic spacer". The stretch from base 295 to 367 matches the Rfam family "tRNA". Lineage: Bacteria; Bacillati; Cyanobacteriota; Cyanophyceae; Synechococcales; Synechococcaceae. The record is from RNAcentral.
CAGGGAGACAAACCUGAUUGUGAUGUCUGAAUGUUUUUAAUCUCAGGCCAUGAUCCUGUCAUCUCAAGGUCGAUCGGUACCUCAGGGUUGGACUGCAGAAGACUUGAGUGAUCAAGGCUUGCUGUGGAUUCAACGUUCAGUUUCUAAACGUUGUCUAGGUCACCCCAUGCGGGCUGACUUUCCUGGGCCAUUAGCUCAGGUGGUUAGAGUGCACCCCUGAUAAGGGUGAGGUCCCUGGUUCAAGUACAGGAUGGCCCAUUCGUCUGUCUGCGCGAGCGGAUGGAGGAUUUAUUUGGGGGUUUAGCUCAGUUGGUAGAGCGCCUGCUUUGCAAGCAGGAUGACAGCGGUUCGAGUCCGCUAACCUCCACUGACCACCCCUGAUUAGGAAGCAGAACGAAGGGUGAACUAGAUUGGUUGACGCUGAAAGAUUUCAGCCUCAGCUCAUUCCCAAGAGUUGAUUCAAUCAUCUGUGGCGACAGCCAUUGAUCACUGACUCAUUCCUGUUGGUUGAGCUGAUGCUGGAUUCAGCAAGCGGCCGCGCGAGCGGCUUGUUUGCAUGAGAUUCAGCAGAACCUUGACAACUGCAUAGGUGAGUCUGGAAAGACAAAGCAUCUCAUAGAUGAGAUCUGAACUGGUUUGAGCUUGCUCAAGCUGGAGAGGAUCGAGUUUCUAUUAUUUGAGAGCCGAGACCUUCUAGCGUUCUUCUCUGGUCGCCGAGAUCAGAGGAGUUUGAUCCUUGUUUCAAACUGAAGCAGCGAUGCUUUAAGUGAAACUUUAGAGAAUAGGCCUCAACAGCCUGAAGCGUUAGGAGGAUGAUUU